Molecule: ribosomal RNA, 2015 nt
Filed under: Salmonella enterica
Lineage: Bacteria; Pseudomonadati; Pseudomonadota; Gammaproteobacteria; Enterobacterales; Enterobacteriaceae
Description: partial 23S ribosomal RNA
Rfam family: Bacterial large subunit ribosomal RNA
Source: RNAcentral
GCCAGUGGUGAACUCCACAUCCGCAUCCUUUGCUGAGGAUACGGUUAACGGAGCGAAAGCGACGUUCAACCGCAAAACAAGCAGAGGGGGCUUAGUGGUGGGGUGACUGCGUACCUUUUGUAUAAUGGGUCAGCGACUUAUAUUCUGUAGCAAGGUUAACCGAAUAGGGGAGCCGGAGGGAAACCGAGUCUUAAUUGGGCGUUAAGUUGCAGGGUAUAGACCCGAAACCCGGUGAUCUAGCCAUGGGCAGGUUGAAGGUUGGGUAACACUAACUGGAGGACCGAACCGACUAAUGUUGAAAAAUUAGCGGAUGACCUGUGGCUGGGGGUGAAAGGCCAAUCAAACCGGGAGAUAGCUGGUUCUCCCCGAAAGCUAUUUAGGUAGCGCCUCGUGAAUUCAUCUCCGGGGGUAGAGCACUGUUUCGGCUAGGGGGCCAUCCCGGCUUACCAACCCGAUGCAAACUGCGAAUACCGGAGAAUGUUAUCACGGGAGACACACGGCGGGUGCUAACGUCCGUCGUGAAGAGGGAAACAACCCAGACCGCCAGCUAAGGUCCCAAAGUCAUGGUUAAGUGGGAAACGAUGUGGGAAGGCCCAGACAGCCAGGAUGUUGGCUUAGAAGCAGCCAUCAUUUAAAGAAAGCGUAAUAGCUCACUGGUCGAGUCGGCCUGCGCGGAAGAUGUAACGGGGCUAAACCAUGCACCGAAGCUGCGGCAGCGAACGUAUCACCCAAGACAACUUUACGGAGUUGACGAUUGACGGAGCGAAGCGACGUCAAAGCGUUCAUUAAAGUCGAGUUGGCUUAGGGAUACGUUCGUUGGGUAGGGGAGCGUUCUGUAAGCCUGUGAAGGUGUGUCGUGAGGCAUGCUGGAGGUAUCAGAAGUGCGAAUGCUGACAUAAGUAACGAUAAAGCGGGUGAAAAGCCCGCUCGCCGGAAGACCAAGGGUUCCUGUCCAACGUUAAUCGGGGCAGGGUGAGUCGACCCCUAAGGCGAGGCCGAAAGGCGUAGUCGAUGGGAAACGGGUUAAUAUUCCCGUACUUGGUGUUACUGCGAAGGGGGGACGGAGAAGGCUAUGUUGGCCGGGCGACGGUUGUCCCGGUUUAAGCGUGUAGGUGUGUGUUCCAGGUAAAUCCGGUUCACUUUAACACUGAGGCGUGACGACGAGGCACUACGGUGCUGAAGCAACAAAUGCCCUGCUUCCAGGAAAAGCCUCUAAGCAUCAGGUAACAUCAAAUCGUACCCCAAACCGACACAGGUGGUCAGGUAGAGAAUACCAAGGCGCUUGAGAGAACUCGGGUGAAGGAACUAGGCAAAAUGGUGCCGUAACUUCGGGAGAAGGCACGCUGACACGUAGGUGAAGUGAUUUACUCAUGGAGCUGAAGUCAGUCGAAGAUACCAGCUGGCUGCAACUGUUUAUUAAAAACACAGCACUGUGCAAACACGAAAGUGGACGUAUACGGUGUGACGCCUGCCCGGUGCCGGAAGGUUAAUUGAUGGGGUCAGCGCAAGCGAAGCUCCUGAUCGAAGCCCCGGUAAACGGCGGCCGUAACUAUAACGGUCCUAAGGUAGCGAAAUUCCUUGUCGGGUAAGUUCCGACCUGCACGAAUGGCGUAAUGAUGGCCAGGCUGUCUCCACCCGAGACUCAGUGAAAUUGAACUCGCUGUGAAGAUGCAGUGUACCCGCGGCAAGACGGAAAGACCCCGUGAACCUUUACUAUAGCUUGACACUGAACAUUGAGCCUUGAUGUGUAGGAUAGGUGGGAGGCUUUGAAGUGUGGACGCCAGUCUGCAUGGAGCCGACCUUGAAAUACCACCCUUUAAUGUUUGAUGUUCUAACGUGGACCCGUAAUCCGGGUUGCGGACAGUGUCUGGUGGGUAGUUUGACUGGGGCGGUCUCCUCCUAAAGAGUAACGGAGGAGCACGAAGGUUGGCUAAUCCUGGUCGGACAUCAGGAGGUUAGUGCAAUGGCAUAAGCCAGCUUGACUGCGAGCGUGACGGCGCGAGCAGGUGCGAAAG